GGCUCAAUGGUCUAGUGGUCUGAUACUUCCUUCGGGCGGUGGAUCUAGUUAAUCCCCUCCGGAUAUCUGCCUUGAAACAGUAUCCAAGUUUGGAAGUGGUCCCGGGUUCGAGUCCCGGUUGAGCCC
This is a non-coding RNA of Paecilomyces variotii, 126 nucleotides long. The record is from the annotation of a RefSeq genome assembly. Lineage: Eukaryota; Fungi; Ascomycota; Eurotiomycetes; Eurotiales; Thermoascaceae.